Lynx canadensis (Canada lynx) is the source of this 106-nucleotide long non-coding RNA. RefSeq lists it as uncharacterized. The transcript is spliced from 3 exons. NCBI's taxonomy places the organism in Eukaryota, Metazoa, Chordata, Mammalia, Carnivora, Felidae. The record is from RefSeq and is a predicted model, not a curated record.
AGUCUGCCUUUUUUGUUUGUUUGUUUCCAUAUCAUUUAGUUAUGGUCUAAUUUUUAUUAUUUCCCUUCUUGUGCUGGCUUUAGGCUUUAUUUUCUGCUCCUUGUCU